CCGCCCCGCCCGCCGCGCGCGGCGGGCGGAGCGGGGGCACGGGGGGAACGCGAAGAACCUUACCUACUCUUGACAUCCAGAGAACUUUCCAGAGAUGGAUUGGUGCCUUCGGGAACUCUGAGACAGGUGCUGCAUGGCUGUCGUCAGCUCGUGUUGUGAAAUGUUGGGCUAAGUCCCGCAACGAGCGCAACCCUUAUCCUUUGUUGCCAGCGGUUCGGCCGGGAACUCAAAGGAGACUGCCAGUGAUAAACUGGAGGAAGGUGGGGAUGACGUCCAGUCAUCAUGGCCCUUACGAGUAGGGCUACACACGUGCUACAAUGGCAUAUACAAAGAGAAGCGACCUCGCGAGAGCAAGCGGACCUCAUAAAGUAUGUCGUAGUCCGGAUUGGAGUCUGCAACUCGACUCCAUGAAGUCGGAAU
This 420-nucleotide ribosomal RNA is filed under the name Citrobacter sp. BF-17. RNAcentral describes it as "bacterial SSU rRNA". It matches the Rfam family "Bacterial small subunit ribosomal RNA", at positions 934 to 1330 of the family's 1533-position model. The record is from RNAcentral. Lineage: Bacteria; Pseudomonadati; Pseudomonadota; Gammaproteobacteria; Enterobacterales; Enterobacteriaceae.